GACGAACGCUGGCGGCGUGCUUAACACAUGCAAGUCGAACGGAAGGGCCCUGCUUUUGUGGGGUGCUCGAGUGGCGAACGGGUGAGUAACACGUGAGUAACCUGCCCUUGACUUUGGGAUAACUUUAGGAAACUGGGGCUAAUACCGGAUAGGAGCUCCUGCUGCAUGGUGGGGGUUGGAAAGUUUCGGCGGUUGGGGAUGGACUCGCGGCUUAUCAGCUUGUUGGUGGGGUAGUGGCUUACCAAGGCUUUGACGGGUAGCCGGCCUGAGAGGGUGACCGGCCACAUUGGGACUGAGAUACGGCCCAGACUCCUACGGGAGGCAGCAGUGGAGAAUAUUGCACAAUGGGCGGAAGCCUGAUGCAGCGACGCCGCGUGCGGGAUGACGGCCUUCGGGUUGUAAACCGCUUUCGCCUGUGACGAAGCGUGAGUGACGGUAAUGGGUAAAGAAGCACCGGCUAACUACGUG
RNAcentral lists this ribosomal RNA (468 nucleotides) under uncultured bacterium. RNAcentral's name for it is "partial 16S ribosomal RNA". It matches the Rfam family "Bacterial small subunit ribosomal RNA", at positions 28 to 507 of the family's 1533-position model. The record is from RNAcentral.